AGCAGCCGCGGUAAUUCCAGCUCCAAUAGCGUAUAUUAAAGUUGUUGCAGUUAAAAAGCUCGUAGUUGAAUUUCGGGGUUAGUAGAUUGGUCAUGCCUUUGGUAUGUACUGGUCUUACUGAUUCCUCCUUCCUGAUGAACCGUAAUGCCAUUAAUUUGGUGUUGCGGGGAGACUGGACUGUUACUUUGAAAAAAUUAGAGUGUUUAAAGCAGGCUCGCGCUUGAAUACAUUAGCAUGGAAUAAUGAAAUAGGACGUUCGAUCCUAUUUUGUUGGUUUCUAGGAUUGACGUAAUGAUUAAUAGGGAUAGUUGGGGGCAUUAGUAUUCAAUUGUCAGAGGUGAAAUUCUUGGAUUUAUUGAAGACUAACUACUGCGAAAGCAUUUGCCAAGGAUGUUUUCAUUAAUCAAGAACGAAAGUUAGGGGAUCGAAGACGAUACAGAUACCGUCGUA
This 450-nucleotide ribosomal RNA is filed under the name uncultured Glomeromycotina. Its description in RNAcentral is "SSU rRNA". It matches the Rfam family "Eukaryotic small subunit ribosomal RNA", at positions 569 to 1022 of the family's 1831-position model. Lineage: Eukaryota; Fungi; Glomeromycota. The record is from RNAcentral.